UACGGAGGGGGCAAGCGUUGUUCGGAAUUACUGGGCGUAAAGGGCGCGUAGGCGGCCAGUUGCGUCGGGUGUGAAAGCCCCAGGCUCAACCUGGGAGGUUCACUUGAUACGGGCUGGCUGGAAUCCGGGAGAGGAUGGUGGAAUUCCCAGUGUAGAGGUGAAAUUCGUAGAUAUUGGGAAGAACACCGAUGGCGAAGGCAGCCAUCUGGACCGGGAUUGACGCUGAGGCGCGAAAGCGUCGGGAGCAGACAGG
RNAcentral lists this ribosomal RNA (253 nucleotides) under uncultured bacterium. RNAcentral describes it as "partial 16S ribosomal RNA". It matches the Rfam family "Bacterial small subunit ribosomal RNA", at positions 524 to 776 of the family's 1533-position model. The record is from RNAcentral.